AAUGGCGAAUGAACCGGAACAGGCACAUUGUGAAAUACAGGGCUUUUGGUUCUGGCUUGCAGAUGCAAGAUGUACUAGCAGCAGGAUGUAGGUGCGAGCCUCUUGGAAAGGAGCAUUGACAUGGGUGAAAACCCCAUGUACCACUUGCAAUUUCCCCAGUGUAUGGUAUACAUUCUCAGAGUCACGCUCUUCGGGCCUGGAGCGCGAAGAUGGUGGUAGGUUUCAUCUAAAGCUUCGCAAUAGCCGGAUGCCGAUAGCGAACAAGUACCAUGUGGGGAAGGUGAAUAAGGACUUUGGGAAGAAAGUUAGAUGUGCUUGAAUUUGCUGGGAGGCAAGCGGGCGUACUUAGUGUGGCUAGGUGAGAGUGUUGUGUGUCNNNNNNNNNNNNNNNNNNNNNNNNNNNNNNNNNNNNNNUGCAAGUUCAUGGGUGCCGAAACCUAGGUGCUCAAUGAAAGUGAUCGCUUGGAGUUUUACACCAGCAGCCGACCAAGCAAUUGAGCGAGGUUUGGGCUUUGAGCAUGUUUGUUAGGCCCCGAAAGAUGGUGAACUAUGCCUGUGCAGGGCAAACCCAGAGGAAACUCUGAUGGAGGCUCGCAGCGAUACUGACGUGCAAAUCGUUCGUCGCACAUGGGUAUAGGGGCGAAAGACUAAUCGAGCCAUCUAGUAGCUGGUUCCCUCCGAAGUUUCCCUCAGGAUAGCUGGAGCUGAGCAGUUUCACCAAGUAAAGCGAAUGGUUGGAGGAUGCAGGGGCGCGCUGUCCUUAACCUACUCUCAAACUUUAAAUGGGUAAGCGCCUGUGGCUACUUGGGUGAGCUUCUGGGAUAUAUGGCGGCUCUAAGUGGGCCAUUUUUGGUAAGCAGAACUGGUGAUGAGGGAUGAACCUAACGUUUGGCUAAGGCGCUUAAUUGUUCGCUCAUGAGAUACCAUAAAGGGCGUUGGCUCAUUUUAACAGCAGGACAGUGGUCAUGGAAGUCGAAAUCUGCCAGAGUGUGUACACUACU
Molecule: ribosomal RNA, 1001 nt
Filed under: Protoperidinium claudicans
Lineage: Eukaryota; Dinophyceae; Peridiniales; Protoperidiniaceae
Description: partial 28S rRNA
Rfam family: Eukaryotic large subunit ribosomal RNA
Source: RNAcentral